GCAGUCGAGCGGUGAACCCUUCGGGGGGAUCAGCGGCGAACGGGUGAGUAACACGUGAGCAACCUGCCCCUGACUCUGGGAUAGCCUCGGGAAACCGGGAUUAAUACCGGAUAUGACACCUCCUCGCAUGGGGUGGUGUGGAAAGUUUUUCGGUCAGGGAUGGGCUCGCGGCCUAUCAGCUUGUUGGUGGGGUGAUGGCCUACCAAGGCGACGACGGGUAGCCGGCCUGAGAGGGUGACCGGCCACACUGGGACUGAGACACGGCCCAGACUCCUACGGGAGGCAGCAGUGGGGAAUAUUGCGCAAUGGGCGAAAGCCUGACGCAGCGACGCCGCGUGAGGGAUGAAGGCCUUCGGGUUGUAAACCUCUUUCAGCAGGGAAGAAGCGCAAGUGACGGUACCUGCAGAAGAAGCACCGGCUAACUACGUGCCAGCAGCCGCGGUAAUACGUAGGGUGCAAGCGUUGUCCGGAAUUAUUGGGCGUAAAGAGCUCGUAGGCGGUUUGUCGCGUCUGCUGUGAAAACGCGGGGCUCAACUCCGCGCCUGCAGUGGGUACGGGCAGACUAGAGUGCAGUAGGGGAGACUGGAAUUCCUGGUGUAGCGGUGGAAUGCGCAGAUAUCAGGAGGAACACCGGUGGCGAAGGCGGGUCUCUGGGCUGUAACUGACGCUGAGGAGCGAAAGCGUGGGUAGCGAACAGGAUUAGAUACCCUGGUAGUCCACGCCGUAAACGUUGGGCGCUAGGUGUGGGCCUCAUUCCACGAGGUCCGUGCCGCAGCUAACGCAUUAAGCGCCCCGCCUGGGGAGUACGGCCGCAAGGCUAAAACUCAAAGGAAUUGACGGGGCCCCGCACAAGCGGCGGAGC
Molecule: ribosomal RNA, 862 nt
Filed under: Quadrisphaera sp.
Lineage: Bacteria; Bacillati; Actinomycetota; Actinomycetes; Kineosporiales; Kineosporiaceae
Description: bacterial SSU rRNA
Rfam family: Bacterial small subunit ribosomal RNA
Source: RNAcentral